Molecule: transfer RNA, 83 nt
Rfam family: tRNA
About the family: Transfer RNA (tRNA) molecules are approximately 80 nucleotides in length. Their secondary structure includes four short double-helical elements and three loops (D, anti-codon, and T loops). Further hydrogen bonds mediate the characteristic L-shaped molecular structure. tRNAs have two regions of fundamental functional importance: the anti-codon, which is responsible for specific mRNA codon recognition, and the 3' end, to which the tRNAs corresponding amino acid is attached (by aminoacyl-tRNA synthetases). tRNAs cope with the degeneracy of the genetic code in two manners: having more than one tRNA (with a specific anti-codon) for a particular amino acid; and 'wobble' base-pairing, i.e. permitting non-standard base-pairing at the 3rd anti-codon position.
Source: Rfam
GGGCACUUGGCACAGUUGGUAGCGCGCACGCUUCGCACGUGAUCGAGUGCGUGAGGUCAGGAGUUCGACUCUCCUAGUGUCCA